AGGGAAAGUUGCAAAGAACUUUGAAGAGAGAGUUCAAGAGUACGUGAAACUGCUCAGGGGCAAACAGGUGGGCCCUCGAAGUCCGUGCGGAGAGGGAUUCAGUCGCGAGCCUCGGAACGCUCGACACGGUUGAUUGAUGCCGGAAGGCAACCCGUGGCGAGCAAUAACGCUUCCGAGGACGCGCGACGCACUUUCCUCUCCCGAUGGACGCCGCAGCCGGUUGGGAGUCGGCAGUGAGGACGAGGUUGGUAGGUGGCGUGGACCAUGGUCUCGAACCGUGGUCCCGUGUCUGCCCAGCCGUUGGGUCCGUGCGCGACGCCCGACCGAGGGAAUUCGUCGGUUUCGACCGACGUGCCGUGGCCUUGCUCGAAAGAGCGAGCGCGCGUCUGCGCCGGGUGAAGGGGGCGUACUCCGAGUCACCGUGCGGUGGCCGGAGGCGUCGCCGCUCCGUUGGGCGAGACUGUGCGGAGAGCGAGCCGCAGGCUUGCGGCGAGUAGGUCGGUAACCCACCUGACCCGUCUUGAAACACGGACCAAGGAGUAUAACGUGUGCGCGAGUCAGUGGGACUCGAACAAGCCCACGGGCGGAACGAAAGUGAGUGGUCGGGAUCCGGUCGGUGAAACGGCCGGCGCACCGACGGCCUGGCGCGUCCCACGUUCUCGUGGAUGGUGCCGGCGCCAGAGCGUACGCGUUGUGACCCGAAAGAUGGUGAACUAUGCCCGGGCAGGUCGAAGCUAGAGGAAACUCUGGUGGAGGACCGCAGCGGUUCUGACGUGCAAAUCGAUCGUCGAACCUAGG
Molecule: ribosomal RNA, 798 nt
Filed under: Micromerys yidin
Lineage: Eukaryota; Metazoa; Arthropoda; Arachnida; Araneae; Pholcidae
Description: partial 28S ribosomal RNA
Rfam family: Eukaryotic large subunit ribosomal RNA
Source: RNAcentral